Molecule: long non-coding RNA, 1448 nt
Organism: Phyllopteryx taeniolatus (common seadragon)
Lineage: Eukaryota; Metazoa; Chordata; Actinopteri; Syngnathiformes; Syngnathidae
Exons: 4
Source: RefSeq, a predicted model, not a curated record
CGCUGACCUUAGCAUUAAUCAACAUGUCGUUGGCGUGUUAGCUUGUCUGCCCGCUGCCAUUAGUGUUAAAAGGUGAAGCAGCCAGCAGGAAAUCAGUGUGGUUUCGUUUUACAGUGGACACUCCAAAGAGGAACAUAACGACGCAGAGGUAAUAUUUAUCAAUUGCAUUAAACUAUAAAAUGAUGCUAAACACAGUGUGAUGAGUAAAAGUACUCACCCUGUGAAGAUGCCUGGCAGUGAUGUUGUUCACCUAGUGGUGUGUAUAAUCUUGAUGUGGAAGUCUUGACGGAGACAAUCUGUACCUUUAUGGAGUUGCAAAGGAACAGGAGGACAAGGAACCUCAGCAAACGUGCAUCAAGGUGGGCCAAAACCCCCUAUGCCCCCCUUUGCACGCCAGUACCCCACUGUGUGUGCGUCUCUCACAGCGAGCGUUCCCAGGCAGUGUGGUUUCCACCAUGGAGGCCAGAUGGCGAGGACUUACCUGGCUCGGAAAUCUCCCCAAAAAGAUGAAGGCGAGACAUGGUGUCUCAACGCCGUGAUUUCAUCACGCUGACUCGUUGCCUGGCAAUAACAACAGUGACUCAUGCACAGCAUCUUCGACGCUCCCCAGUGCGUGUGUGUGCUUGUGCGUGUGUACAUGCAGUAAACAACCUGGGCACCAGCAGAAGCACCACAUGACUGCCAGGCUUCGUCCCUCUGAAGCCAUUUUCAAUUUGGAUCAUCAAACAUAUUUCCUCUAAGCACAUUACGGAUAUUAUGGGUGUGAGAAAAGGUCGGGUUUCAAGCAAGGGUUAGGGUUCCAAAGUUCGGUUUCAAGCAAAGGUUAGGGCAUAAAGACAGAGUCAGGGUUUCAAAUUAGGGUUUUUAAACAAGGUUAGGAUUUCAAGCAGAGGUUGGGUUUUCAGAUUAGGGUUUGAAACUCAGGUUAGGGUUUCAAACCAGGAUUAUGGUUUCAAAUGAGGGUUUUAAAAUAGGAUUAUCUUUUCAAAGUGUGGGUUUAAGUAAGGGUUAAAGUUUUAAAUUGGGGAUUUAAGCCUAAAUUGGGGUUUCAAGACAGGGUUAGGGUUUUUAAAUUAGAGGUUUAAUAUAUUUGCACAGUUUCAAGUUGGGUUUUAGAGUUUCAAGACAAGAUUAAGGUUUCAAACCAAGGUUAUCGUUUCAAAUUGGGGAUUCAUGACAGGAUUUGCAUUUCAAAUAAAAAAAAUUUAAGCAAGGGUUAAAGUUUUAAAUUGAGGUUUCCAACCUAGGUUAUAAUUUCAAGUAAAGUUUUGAGUUUCAAAUCAGGGUUCCAAGUUUAAGGGAAAGGUUUCAAAACAGUAUUAUUGUGGUUUCGAAAUAAGGUAUCAAGCCAGGGUUAGGGUUUUAAAUUAGGGCAUAGUUCAGGUUUCAAAAUGGGAUUAGUGUUUGAAGCAAAAACUAAGAUUUUAAAUUAGGGGUUCAAGUCAGUG